This 14206-nucleotide long non-coding RNA is filed under the name Podarcis lilfordi (Lilford's wall lizard). Lineage: Eukaryota; Metazoa; Chordata; Lepidosauria; Squamata; Lacertidae. The record is from RNAcentral.
CAUGACAUCACACACACACACACGUGAUGUGGGCGGGCCAGCCCCCCCAAAUAUUGGGGGGCAACCCGGUGUCACUGGCACAUCUUGAAAGGGACUCAAUAUCUCCUUUCCCAAAUAAGGGAAUGCUUUAAAAGGUAAUGUGAACUUGUAACAUAGACUCUGUGGAUGGGGUUGAGAGGGCAGGAUGUGGAAGGUCUCUGUGCACCAAAGGGAUCCCCAACCUCUGCAUAACUGCUGGCACUCUCUUUCUGCCACCAGAUGUUUGCCUCUUUCACCUGCUGUAGUCAGGAUAUAGGGUUCAGCAGUGGGUUGUCCACUGUCCUCUGCAAAGGUUGCAGACAGUGGGCAGAUGGCUGUGUGGCUGCUGAAUGGACUGUGAGCUGAGGGGGAAUAGGGGGGUUUCAAUUGCAGAAGUACAGUGCUGGUAACUGGAUAUGUGAAUCUGCCUACAGUCAGCCAACUCUUGCAGAGGGGUUGGCUGAUGGUCCCUGUUAAAGGUAAAGGUAAAGGACCCCUGACAGUUAAGUCCAGUCGCGAAUGACUCUGGGGUUGCGGCGCUCAUCUCGCUUUACAGGCUGAGGGAGCCGACGUUUGUCCACAGACAGUUUUUCCGGGUCAUAUGGCCAGCAUGACUAAGCCACUUCUGGAGAAAGCAGAGCAGUGCACGGAAACGCCGUUUACCUUCCCGCCACAGCAGUACCUAUUUAUCUACUUGCACUUGACAUGCUUUCAAACUGCUAGGUUGGCAGGAGCUGGGACAGAGCAAUGGGAGCUCACCCCAUCGCGGGGAUUCGAACCGCCGACCUUCCAAUCGGCAAGCCCAAGGCUCAGUGGUUCACACCACAGCACCACCCGCGUCCCCAUGGUCUCUGUUACUGGACUCCAAACAGUGGAAGUGAAUCCUAUGCCAUCCACAGUUUCAGAAAGUUCUGCUUGCAGUUUGUGUCCAGGUCUCUACAUGAUUGUAGUUAACUCACUUCCAUGAGCAGAGAAUGUGGUCGUUGGGCUCUUUCUAUCAUCACAAAUUGCAGGAGCCAGGAUGCAGAAAACAGACAAAAUUCUUAAAACACAUCACACAUCUGUCAGUGGUAAAAUGUGAGAGAAUUGUCAUUGUCUGCAAACUUUCAGAGAAAGGACCAGUAAAUGAAAGUGUCCUCAUGACAGAAGCUGUUUCUGAGAUCCAGAGUGGAAUUAGCAGCUCUAAGGAGUAAACAAACGCACUCAUAUCGUUGUCAAGAGGCAGCUCUCCUCUCUCUUUGCUUCCAGGUCUAAAGUUUUGGAUGCACAUUGUGCUCUCAUGUGGAAACCUGGAAUGUGACAUUGUGUGGCAGGCCAAGCGAAGGAAGGUGAACACACAGGCGGAGGGCACCACUCAGGCACUCUGCAGGGUCGGCUGGAGUGGAGGAGGAGACUGCCGCAGGGCAGGUGGCAGCCAGCCAGCCUUCUGGAGCCAGGCCAAGCAAGCUGGAGGGGAAGUCUGCCAUGGGAGGACCUUCCCUUCAAAGCACAGGGGGCUCCGGGGGAGAGAGGAGGGGAAGGAAGGAAGGAGGGGUACUGCUAAGACUGUAGCCCAGAAAGCCAGGUCUGUGAAAGUCAGUAAGGGGUGUGGACCAGGGCUUGCCAGGGAAAUGGGAUGCACAGGCUCAGACUUGACUCUAAACUAAAGGUAAAGGUACCUCUGACCGUUAGGUCCAGUUGCGGAUGACUCUGGGGUUGCAGUGCUCAUCUCGCUCUAUAGGCUGAGGAGCCAGCGUUUGUCUGCAGACAGUUUCUGGGUCAUGUGGCCAGCAUGACUAAGCCGCUUCUGGUGAACCAGAGCAGUGCACAGAAACGCCAUUUACCUUCCCACCAGAGUGGUACCUAUUUAUCUACUUGCACUUGAUGUGCUUUUGAACUGCUAGGUCAUGGGUAGGCAAACUAAAGCCGGGGGCCGGAUCCGGCCCAAUCGCCUUCUAAAUCCAGCCCACGGAUGGUCCAGGAAUCAGCAUGUUUUUACAUGAGUAGAAUGUGUCCUUUUAUUUAAAAUGCAUCUCUGGGUUAUUUGUGGGGCCUGCCUGGUGUUUUUACAUGAGUAGAAUGUGUGCUUUUAUUUAAAAUGCAUUUCUGGGUUAUUUGUGGAGCAUAGGAAUUCAUUCAUUAUUAUUUUUUCAACAUAUAGUCCUGCCCCCCACAAGGUCUGAGGGACAGUGGACCAGCCCCCUGCUGAAAAAAUUUGUUGACCCCUGUGCUAGGUGGGCAGGAGCUGGGACCGAACAAUGGGAACUCACCCUGUCACGGGGAUUCGAAUUGCCAACCUUCCAAUCGGCAAGCCCUAGGCUCAGUGGUUUAGACCACAGAGCCACCCGCAUCCCAACUCUAAACUAGGCGAGAGUAAAACAAAGGACAUGAACAAAUGCCUUUGCACUUCUUGGGUUCAAGCACCACGGUGGUGCUUGCUCUCAGGUAAAUGCACUCUGACUGGCUUGUAGCAACUUUACAACCUGAUGCUUCCUAAUGUUUUCUGGGAUUAAGUCUUCCUGGUGAGUGUAGGUAAACGUGCAUGCAGGAUCAUGUGGGUUUAACCAUUGAAGUACCCCACCCAAACAGAGGAGACAUAUAUGCAUAUAAUUCCUUCAGGUAACACCAAGCAGAUGUUAUGGAUUUCAUUCAGUGUUGCUGCAAAUGCAUCUGAGGAGACCCUUACAAAGCUCAUUGCAAAAGAUGCAACCCAGCACAGACACAAACUUCUUGUUUCUCUUCUAAGCAGGACUCCUCCAGAAUGCAUGGCAAUCUCCAUGGUUCCUCUCUUCAUAACUGUUACACCCAAUCCUGGCCAUAAAUGCAUCACAAUGCCCUUGUGGCCUCAGUCCAUCCCCUUCUGCUUGCUCCUGCUCCAAGAACAGUGAUGAAGAGGUACCAGCACACUGGCAACCUCUCCCUUGGACCUCAUCUUGCCCACCCCACCAAUGUGGUUGCAACGGCUCUUGUGUUGGACCACAGAAGAAGAUGUUCUGGGAGAUGGGCUGGAAGUGGAUGGGUGGGAGGUGAAGGUACCUGUGAUCAAGCAGUUAAUUUGUUUCCCGGUUUUAUCUGCUCAUGACGAGGCAUUAAGGAAGGUUUCCUUAAUAUAUCUUAACUCCAUUGUUGGCAAGUUAAGCUCAAGAGGCUGUGUGUGAGAGCUGGGAAUUCCACUGAUGUAGUCAGGAUGUAAUGUGCCCUGUACUCCCAUCUUCUGCUCUAUCUUUACAGCAGAUAUUUAAGCCUAAAAAGGCUGACACAUUUCUAAAUAAUCCCCCAGGAAACAGUUUAGUGUGGGGCCAUUAUCUUGAUAGUUCAUAAUUAGGUUCAAUAAGAAAGCUUGUUUUGCCAACCCAGGUCAGAUCCCUGCUGUGUCCGCCUGUGCCUGUGCUCAGUGACCUUGUUCCAAGAGUGUAUUGUUAGAAAAUCCAUUAUUAUCAUCACACACACUUUGGAGAAGUGGCUGUUUUGCGAAUUGAUGGUGUGAUGUUGCCACUUUAGAUAAAAGAAUCCAUGAAUUAUUGACUUAAUGAGUUAAUGUUGCUUCAGUCUCCAAUGAGACCUUUAUAGGCUGGGUGCUAUUUAACGGGAGACAUCUGAGGCAAAUACAGAGAGAGAGGGAGAGAGAAAGAGUCCUCUGCAGGGCAUGGAGGACUUCCUUAGAGCAGGCUUCUAUCUUCUUGGACAAUUCUGGGAUUAAAAUGCUUGCAAGGCAACCAGAUGCCCAACUACAUUCAUUUUGUUUAAUGCACAAUCACAGCUUGCGUCUUACUCAUUUAUCAUGGAAUGCUGGGGCAGGAGGGUUUCUGCCCCGUAGGAAUGUCACUGAUAACAGAUAUAAUAUGAAAAUCAUUGAGACAAUGUAGGGCUAUCAACUCCUAUGGUUUGCUUGGUGAAAAACUGAGCACGUAAAAUACAAUUUGGGUGAACUACAAACUCCCAUCCAUCUAGACCAAUCUACCAAACAUAAAGCUCCCACGUAGAGAUCCUCUUGCAAAGGAGCAAAAUGAAGGUUCCAGCCAGCAGAGGUUCCUCACAGCAAUUCCAUAGUUCCAGAAAAAUGUGAAAUUCUGGCUCCGAAUAGGCCAUCACACAGAAGGCUCACAAGCCUUCCAUGUAAGAACAACUUGCCAGCUGAAGUCUGUCUUAUCCAGCAUCAUAUUCUCAAAGCCUCUGAGAAGACCACAAGCAUCUUCUCCAAAUGUGCCUCUGAGCACCUGUAUGCCCUUUAGCAAACCUUUGCCUCCCCUGUCAUCUAAAAGUCCAAUCACCUCCCUAGCCAGUCUCUUGUUACUAAGGCCUCUGAAGAGCUUCUUGUUGUUGGUCUUCAUGUUUCUAGCAAGGUGCUUUUCCAGUUACCUAUUUGCCAAAGUUUGUUUUCCUUUUUGUUUUCUUCAUCCACACAUUGUUUUAAAGGAAGGCAUCCUCUUGGCCCUGGUGGUACUUUUCUUGAUCUGUGGCAAACAUUUCAGCGGAGCUUCUAAUCAUGUGGUUUUGAACAGCUCACAAGCAGUAUGGAGUACUUUGACUCUCUUGACUUUUCCUUUCACUUUUAUUUUCUCUCCCCCCCCCCCAACCUUCCUUUCAACUUUCUGGUGCAGUCCAUGAUGUUCCCAGUGAGAACAAGGAAGGAGCAGCUUCAACAACUUCAGUUCCUGUGGGGCUCUUCUUGUUGCAUUUGCUUCAGUGACUGAGCUGAGCUCUCCUUAGGAAAACUGUACUGGAAGUGUGACAAAUGAAAGGAACCCUUUCUUGCAUCUUUGCUUCAUUCUUCUCUCUUUUUCCUUCCUAGAAAAACAUGAAUACUGCUGUUGAUACACUCUCUGUUGAGGCAUCCAGUGCCCUGUUCUCUGCAAUCAGUUGCAGUUAAUGAUGCCUGAGAACACGAACAAGACGCCCCUGUUUUUAUUAAGCUUUUAAUAGGUUUUAUUUGAUUGUUGUAUUUUUAUAUGACUGUGUAUUGAUGGUGAGGAUUUUAUGUCAACCGCUUAGAUAUUUCUUUUCAUAUUAAGCCAUUUAUAAUUUUUAUACAUCAGUAAUAAAGCCCAUCUUUGAGUCUACUCCUGCCGGUCCCACAAUCUUUCACUGUCUUCAGAAUUCCUUUAGACACACAUUUUAGCGUCCUGCUAAUGUCACAUUAGCAGAUUGCAAUCACAGUUGUUAAAAUGAAUACAAAUGAAUUAAUAAUGAUUAUCUAAUUAUUUGAAAGUGUCAUCCUACUUUAGGAGCCAUUUCACAAUGUUCCCAGGGGUUAAUGACGCCACUCACUUCCUGUUGUAAAUCAUGCAGCAAAAGUGAGGGGGAUGAAGAGGUGUGAGAAAGGAAGGCACUAAUCUUACGGGCUUCACACCCCCAUUGGAAACCAUGCCAGAGUGAUGGGCCCUCUGCUCUGUGCUUGCCGAAAGUCCUCACCACAAGGUCCCUUUGACCUCCCCCCCCCCUCAGUUUAUUGUUUUUACCUUGGCAUUUUAUUAGAGCAAUUUUAAAGUUCAAAGAAAAAAAUAAAAUGUCAAUCAAAACUAUAAAAAACAGCUCUUUUCGUUUGUUGCCAUUGUGGUGAGCGGUUGGUGGAGCUCGAGUAUGUCUUCCCACAAGACGUUCAAGAUCAAGCGGUUUCUCACUAAGAAGCAGAAGCAGAACAGGCUCAUCCUGCAAUGGAUCCGCAUGAAAACUGGCAAUAAAAUCAGCUACAACUCCAAAAGGAGACACUGGAGGAGGACCAAGCUCAGCCUGUAAAGAGAAGCAGCUCCAAUCUUACUGGCACAACCCUGUAUCUUGCAUCAAACUCUCGAGCAUCAGAAUGGUCUCUUCCUACCAGUCUCCCAGAUUAUCAGGGCUGGAAUUCUGUCUUGUGCUGUGCAAUCUCUCCCCUUUGUAGAAUGUAAUGAAUAAAAAACUGUAAUGAAUAAAAAACUGAAUGGAGGGGGCUAUAAAAAACAGCAAAAGGCAGCCAGUCUUCGGGGGGGAGGUAAAAAAACCAGCUAAUUAAUUAGCUAAUUAACUAUUAGCUUGGCUAAAACGUCUUUUGCCACCUGUUGAAAAGGGUAGCCUGGCAAGUUGUCACUGCCAGGGGGUCAUUGUAUCCUUUCACUGCCUCCCAAACAGUGGGGUCUGACCAAGGCAGAAUACAGCAGGACUAUUACUUCUAUCCUUCUGUUGAUGCAGCAUAACUCAAGAGAUUGUGUCCAUCCUUAGAAAUAGCUAACUGAUUGAUUAAUUGCUGUUUUCAGCCCUUUCUACCUGGUAGGGCUGAAGUAGGAAACCAAAACACAAGCAGCAUGGGAGAGGUUAUGGAACUGGGAUUUAAAGUUUACAGCAUGCUGUACUUUGAAAGAAAAUUAUAUGAAAAUGAUGUAUCGCUGGUAAUUAACCCCUAGUAAAUUAGCUAAAAUGUACAAAGCAAGGUCAAAUACUUGCUGUAAAUGUAAGGAAAAGGAGGGCACCUUCUACCACAUGUGGUGGAGCUGUAAAAUAGUAAAAGAAUUUUGGAGGGUGAUAUAUAAUGAACUGAAAAAAAUGUUUAAAAUAACCUUUUCUAAAAACAAACAAGCCAGAAGCUUUUCUUCUAGGAUACUGGUGGAUACUGGCAUGGUGGUGGAGCCCCUCCCACACAUCCCCAGCAGGUGGACCUGCCACAUUCUGCACCCAACUCAGUCCAAGGGCACCUGUCACCAAAAACCAUAGGGACAUUUAAGGAGAUCAGCAGGGAUUCAUAGAAAUAGAAUAUCCAUAUAGUUUGAAUUUAAAAUGGCUGUUUCCUGUGCCCCAUUAAACUAUGAACUGCAUUCAACUGAAAGACACAGGAUAAAUGAGAUGCAAAAUGGCCUUCUCAGCACCACUUGAAAAAGCAUCCUGGGUCUCUUACUGCUGCAGGCAAGACCACCUAUGGGAGGAUGGAGCUGUCCAUGGAAGCAGCUCGGUUUGCUGAUGGAGAUGAUGGAGAUGUCAAAAGGCAACCUGCAGCCAGAAUGACAGUGUGAUUAACUGAAAUGAGGCUGAAGUCACAAGCAGCUCAGGCCACUGGGAAAUUAAGGCACCAAUUCGAACCAUCAAGAUCAGCAAUGAUAUUGUGGCAUAUCCUAGCAACAGCAGCAACAUUAACCUUGCCAUCCUAGACAGCGAACUAAUUUCACAGCAGCAGCAGCAGCAUUUCAGCAUCUUUUAAUCUCAGAACUUUUUGAAUGAAUGCUGAUAUUCUCCAAAUGGACCAGCUUCUGUUCUUUUCUUUAGGAGCAAAUGGAGUGAAUAAUAGUGGUUUCCCCACAAACUGUUCCUGCAGGAAAAGAGCGGUUGUACUGGUCAAGGAAUCCACAUUCAGGAGAGAAGGUUCAUGGUGCAGGAGCCACACAAUUGCAGGGGUGAGACUUUGGGCAUCCUUCCCUCCCUGAAUGAGGUAUUAAUAAAUGACAGGAAGCAACUAUGUGGAUGGUCAUAGUUUGCAUCCCAGAUAAUCCAUCAGUGCUAAUGAGGUGUAUCCCCCAGCAAGGGGGUUGCUUCCUGUUGUGCAGCUGGAAGUAUUUCUGUGCUCUCCAGUAAGUGAUCUGAGGAUUUCUCCCUUUUCCAGUGUGAUCCAACCACCACACAAAACAAUGCAGCUCCAUUAAAGCAAAAUCAGCUUGGUGGAGAGGAAUGGCUACUUGGGGGCAAGGGUGAGAGGUACUAUGCCUCUACUCCAGUGGGUCAUUAAGAUGAAGCCCCCACCCCCAUGUCAACCUACUCAUUCACAAUUAAGUUUGUACCCUACACUGAACACACCAAAUCCUGGAGAAACAGUGUUGCAGCUGAACUAUUAAAGGCUGUGAUCAGCGUGUUGUGGGGGGCGGAGUGGCUGCAUCUGAUGCUGAACUAUAUUGCUGCUACAAAUUUCUGCUGCCGCCGGCCUGGUUCUGCCUGAAAGGCUCUUCCCAGUCCUGUGGGCAUUAGAUGGGCACCUGGUUGUCCCCAGAGACUUGGAGGUCUUGUUCUGACCCAUCGCAGCCCAUGAGGCAAGGUGGGCAUUGCAGUUGCAGGACCACGGACAGCUCCAUGAAACAAGGUGGGCAUUGCAGUUGCAGCACCACGGACAGCUCCAGGUGAGCCACAAAGGAGCUUGUCUAGGGGUGGGGUCUUUGUGUUGUUUUGUUUCAUAAAUCAGAAUCAUAGAAUUGUCGAGUUGGAAGGGACCACGAGAAGCAUAUAGUCCAACCCCCUGCAGUGCAGGAAUCUUUUGCCCAACAUGGGGCUUGAACCCAUGAUCCUGAGAUUAAGAGUCUCAUGCUCCACCAACUGAGUUUGAAGCUGAAUCACUAGAAGUUAGGAUUAUGCACAUAGCUGUCAACUUUCAGAUUUGAAAAUAAGGGAUCAGCAGCCUUGAAAAUAAGGGAUCAGCAGCCUCACCUGUCCCGGGGACAGUCUGCAGGAUAUCUAACAAUCCCGGAUAGCAGCGGGAAGCAGCAGGAAACGGCGCUGGAAUAAGGGAAUUUCCCACCAAAAAAGGGAAGGUUGACAGCUAUGAUUAUGCAUCCUGAUCCCUGUUUUGACCUGAGAAGCUUCAUGGUGCCUUGCUCUGAUUUUGGUCAAAUCUCUCCUCUCCCCUUAGACUAGUGGAGCUUUUGAAAAGAAGAAGUUGUGAAAUUAGUGUCAGCUUUUAACAGCAGAAUGUGUGUUCAUGAAAUUAUUUAUAAACCAUAUUUUGGGACAUAGCCCACUCAGCUGUUGUCCAAGUGAUGCAAUCGGACGAGGUUUAUUAAUACCAGAACACAAGAAAUGUUUCCAAGUACUUUGGUAAUAAUGGGGUUGGGGGGGGGGGGAGGCUUGAAUGUGCCUGCUGUGCAGAAGAGCAAAAGCUGUGAUUGAUCUCAAUGUAAACAGGGUGAUUUUUCUUUCUCCAACAUGACAUGGAGCCCAACCGUGUGUGAUGGAUUCUGUCGCUGCCCCUUCCCAACCAUCAUUCUCGCUUUUAAUCCACUCAGUGCUCUUGUUGGGCUUUUGCCUGCUCCCAUUUCAUUUCACCCCCUCUCCAAACAGGAUGCAGUAGUUGGUUUAUACAUGUUCAACAGCAGUAGAUAGUUUCCUUUAAGAAUUCAGGAAAAUAUGUGGUGCUCCAGGGGGCAGGAGGGGGCAGGGGAAUAAAAGCUACCUGCAAGAAAGUUUGAUUUGCCUUCAAAUGAAAGUGAUGAUCUGUUGUAAGCGCUUUCAAUCCCUAGAAUCUCAUAUGGUUUCACUCCUCCUCCUAAUAUGGCAGUCCUUUUUGCAGGAAGCAAUCCAGAUUUCCUGAACCUUGUCAGAGUAGAGUAGAAAGUGGCCUUUACUGGUCAUCUCUUGCACGGGGUUUCCUGAGCACCUCUCCUUGGGAAAUGCGUGCCCAAAGCUUUCUUAGAUAGAGUACUGUGAAGGUUAAUAUCUGAUAGAUUCCUGACUGCUCUGGGGGAGUUUUCAGUGGAUAGAGCAGGUAAUCUUGUUGAGGCUCUUGUCUCGCUGUGGAAUGGCAAAAUUCUUAGGGCCAUCAGCAUGAUCAUUCCUGAGGCUCCGCUCCAGUCCUACAGAGGCCUCGUUGCUCCUUAGUAUUCUGAGAAGCUGCAGUUGAUGAAACAGACUGGCUGGGGGGAUGGGGACUGGUGGAAAGCACCAUUAAAGAUAAAAUUAUCAAACCUAGGAAAGGAUCAGAGUUGCUGAAGAAGAAUCAAUAUGGCUUCUGCGAAGGUAUGCUCUGUCUGCCUAACCUUUUAGAGUUCUUUGAGAGUUCCAAUAAGCAUAUGGGUAGGGGUGAUCCAGUUGAUACUGUGUACUUAGUCUCUUGAAAAGCUUUUGACAAAGUAGCUCACCUACUUAGUAAGCUAAGCAGUCAUGGAAUAAGAGGGAAGGUCCUCCUAUGGAGCAGUUACUGGUUAAAGAGCAGAAAUAAAUAAACAAUCAAGGGAUGUAGAAAGUGAAGUCUGUCAAGGAUCAGAAUUGGGACCUGUGCUUUUUAAGUUCUUCAUAAAUAAUCUAGAAUUAGAAGGGAGCAAUGAGGCUGCCAGGGUUGCUGAUGAUUCCAAAUGGUUUAAGGUGGUUAAAUUACAAAAGGAACUCUCCAAACUGGAUAAAUGGUGGUAUAAUCACAAAUACAGUUCAGGACUUAUCUACACUUAACUUUCCUCUGCUCUUUCCAGGCACGGUCCACAAUUUGAAGCUCUGUGUCCAAGCACCCGAAUUGAUGUUUGCUCCGACUGAACACCAAAGAUCAGGUUUUUGUGGGGAAAGCUCCAGGGCAAAAAAAAAAAACCUGCUCAGACGAGGAGCUUCAAAGUGCAGACCUGUGCCUGGAAAGAGUGGGGCAAAAGCUAAAUGUGGAUAAGCGCUCAGUGUAAACAAGUUUAAUGUUAUGCAUGUUGGGGCAAAAAUUCUUAAUUCCACAUAUAGUCUCAUGAGGGCUGGUUAGGCACUGACUGCCCAGGAAUGAAACUGUGGGAUUGCAAUAGAAAUGUGAACCCAGUGUGCAGCAGCUACAAAAAAGAUAGAUAGAUUCCAUGCUGGGGAGAUUUGUGUGUGUGUGUGUGUGUGUGUGUGUGUGAUGACACUAGAACUGAAGUUCUAGUGAAGCUGACUUUUGAAAGAUUCAGGAAAGACAAAAGAAAGUAGAUAUGUACACAGUGCCUACCUUGACUAUUGAAUUUGCUACUGCAAUAUGUGACUUUCACCACCAACCUACAAUGAAAUCUUAACAUGUCUACUUACUUCUAGGUAUGUAGGUACAGUGGUACCUCAGUUUAAGAACAGCCCUGUUUACGAACUAUUCGGUUUACGAACUCUGCAAAACCGGAAAUAAUGUCUCAGUUUGCAAACUUUACCUCGGUCUAAGAACGAAAACCAAAUGGUGGAAGAGCACCAGCAGUGGGAGGCCUCAUUAGGGAAAUUGCGCCUCGGUUUAAGAACAGUUUCGGUUUAAGAACGGAUUUCCGGAAUGGAUUAAGUUCGUAAACCGAGGUACCACUAUAUAGGGUUGCGGCCUUAGAUGACUUUAAAGGGGGAUUAGAUAGAGUUAUGGCAAAUAAGGCCAUCAUUGGCUAGGAGUCACUAUGAUGUUGCUCUACCUCCAGGACCAGGACCAGCAACAACCCUCUGAAGACCAGAUGCUGGGGAGCAACAGCAGGAAAGGGCUGUCACCUGCAUGACCUACCUCUGGGCUUCCUAUAAUGGGCAGUCCAUGGUGAGGUAGUCCAUGGUGAGGAAUGGGGAUGCUGAAUUAGCUAGGCCCCCUUUGGUGAGAUCCAGCUGCUGGAAGAAGAGUUUGGAUUUGAUAUCCCGCUUUAUCACUACCCUAAGGAGUCUGUCUCAAAGCGGCUAACAAUCUCCUUUCUCUUCCUCCCCCACAACAAACACUCUGUGAGGUAAAUGGGGCUUAGAGACUUCAGAGAAAUGUGACUAGCCCAAGGUCACCCAGCAGCUGCAUGUGGAGGAGCGGGGAAUCAAACACGGUUCACUAGAUUAUGAGUCCGCUGCUCUUAACCACUACACCACACUGGACUCUUCUUCUAGCCCAAUCCAGGAGUACAGCAGAGAACAACAUCCAGAUUUGGAGUUGGAGGGCUGCUGUUGCAAACACAAGGAUAGCCAGGCCACAUUUCAGGCUACAAGACCCCUUUGCCCUCCCACAUUUCAUCACAGAAGGCAAAAAAACAAGGCAAAGCCUUCUCCAUUGUGAUUAUCUGCUCUCUGUCCCACUGAUUUAUUUGGUGUCAACCAGCAGAGAGCUUUUUAUAUAAUGAAACACUGCCUGCAUGCCAUCUGUCAUCCAUCACCCAAAGUGGCACGCCAUUUAAAAGGUUUUUGUUGGGGGGGUGGAUGGACAGACAGACAGAGGAGUGGGUGCACCUCCUACUAAUCGCCUGAUUUCAGGAACUGGGCUGGGCAGAGACCCUGAAAUGCACACAUGGAAUGUGGUAGCUGCAACUGUGAGCCAGUGUGGUAGUGGUGCUCAGUCUUACUAUCCCAUGGCAGGAUUAUUCUGCUCACAGCGGUUGCAGCCUGAUAAUUAUUAUUGAUUCACUCUCAGGCUGUCAAUCUGGGAACAGCUCUAAAGUAGUCCAUGAUGGACAGAGAGAGAAUUGGACAGCCACCAUCCAACGAAGAAACUUCAUCUUGAAAAUGAACUUAGAUGAGAUGGUGCAGGUGGAUAAGGGUAAUUGAUUAUUGUUUUAGAGUGGAAGAAGGAGAUAUUUUUAAAGAAAUAUCUCUUUGGUAUCCACCCUAAGAAAUCUGCACUACUCAUAAGACUGUGCGCAAAUGUCAUACGCUUUUAGAAUUUUGUGUAAAUGGUUUACUAAGGCUUAAUUUUAUCACAGAAAUGCAGUUAAGAUUCCCUGGUUUGCAGAACACACAAGGCAGUUUCCUCAUGGGAGUGAUACAAGCUGUUCCAAGCUACAUGACUUAGUGCCACAAAGAGACUAGCUAGUACCCUGCACUGUUAGGGACAGUGAGGGGUCAAAGUUGCUAAUGCAAGAGAACUUCCUUGUCAUGCCCAUGUUAUAAGACAGUGGUUCCCAACCCACCCAUGGCACCAUUCACAUAAUGAAAACUACCAUAGAGAUGUCAAAAAUUUCAAAAGUAGGGGUCCAUGGGUUGACUUCUUUUAGGGGGAAGAGGGGGUCCACAGUACUUAUCUAACUGGGAACCACUGUUAUAAGGGAUUCUCUGCAAAGUGUUUUAAACCUGAUGUUUUGCUGCGUUGCCUAACAUUCUCUGCUCCAGCUGCACAAGCCAGAUCCCCAGUGCAAGGUGUUUGCCAUGGGAAGAUGCCUUCCAAAAGAGACACAAAGGUAGACACAGGCAAAUGCGCAUUAUUUCUAAAAGGCAGGGCACAAAUAUGUCCAUGAAUGAAUGACUGGCUGAAUAUGAAGCCCUGUGAGUGAGCAGGCUAACCUCCUUUGCAGGGCUGUUAUUAUGAGGAUAAAAUGGGGCAGCCUCUAGCUCUGCUAGAGGACAGCAGAGUGCCUUUUGCCUUGGUGAACCUCUCCAUUUGCUAACAUCUACAAGGGGAGUUGGGACGCGGGUGGCGCUGUGGGUUAAACCACAGAGCCUAGGACUUGCUGAUCAGAAGGUCUGCGGUUUGAAUCCCUGCGACGGGGUGAGCUCCCGUCGCUCUGUCCCUGCUCCUGCCAACCUAGCAGUUCGAAAGGAUGCCAAAGUGCAAGUAGAUAAAGAGGUACCGCUCCGGCGGGAAGAUAAACGGCAUUUCUGUGUGCUGCUCUGGUUUGCCAGAAGUGGCUUAGUCAUGCUGGCCACAUGACCCAGAAGCUGCACGCCAGCUCCCUCAGCCAAUAAAGCAAGAUGAGCGCCGCAACCCCAAAGUCGGUCAUGACUGGACCUAAUGGUCAGGGGUCCCUUUACCUUUACUUUACAAGGGGAGUUUAGUGAGCUGUAAAGGGGGACUUGGCUAUGCAAUCCCAUCUGUGUGGCUCUGCAUACAGCAUUUAAAAACAAGAUGUGAUGGCGCUUGUCGUUCAUUUCUCUCUAAGUGGAAUGCCACAUUCAGGUUUCUUUCUCAAGAUUGCAAAAAAGCCUUCCUAAGGUUCCAUCAUCAAGAAUGAAAACCCCUUUUCCUUGGGCUCUUGACUCCUUGUAAUCAUAAAAUGCCUCUUGGAAUCUUCAAUGGGGUGACAAUUCACUGAAGAUUAAUUCUUGUGCAGGAGUCGCUGGGGCUCAAGCCAACUCUUUGAUUAGCUGUAAAUGAGGUGUGUUGGUCGAAAUGAGUCUCCUCCUAUUAUCUCGGAGCCCGUUCCCAGGGCCAGCGCUCCUGCCCCUCCAGAUGCAGCUGUUGCUGUAUUUGCUUCCCAAUUACAUUGUGGGUGAACUCAAGAGAACACAAACCAGCGGAGGAGAAAUCUGCUCAGUCUCACCACAAUUAGGGCUUAUGCUCUGGUUCAGGAAAAGUCAGGCAGACAGGUCACUCGUAUUUGAUUUUUGAGCAUGUUAUUUAGAAUUUGGCCACAGACACAAAUCAUUGCACACAAAUCUGUUCAUUUGUUUUUUAAGGGAAAGAUAUUCCAGCAGUGGUAGUAUUGAUUUCCCACUAUUAUGUCUUAAAAACUGAUGCACACACACACAGUGUACACACACAGAGAGCCUGCAGCACAGAGAUCAUUUUCUGCUUGGUCUUUUGCCAGCCACAGGCAUUCCUGCCCCUUGCAAUUAUAUUGGAGCGCAGAGGCUGACGGCUCCCUCAAUCCACCACAUGAUACUUUCUCCUCCU